RNAcentral lists this ribosomal RNA (253 nucleotides) under uncultured bacterium. RNAcentral's name for it is "partial 16S ribosomal RNA". It matches the Rfam family "Bacterial small subunit ribosomal RNA", at positions 524 to 776 of the family's 1533-position model. The record is from RNAcentral.
GACGAACCGAGCGAACGUUGUUCGGAAUCACUGGGCUUAAAGGGCGCGUAGGCGGGCUGCCGCGUCCGGGGUGAAAUCCUCCGGCUCAACCGGGGAACGGCCUCGGAUACGGGCGGCCUCGAGGGGGGUAGGGGCAUGCGGAACUGUGGGUGGAGCGGUGAAAUGCGUUGAUAUCCACAGGAACUCCGGUGGCGAAGGCGGCGUGCUGGACCCCAUCUGACGCUGAGGCGCGAAAGCCAGGGGAGCAAACGGG